Molecule: unclassified non-coding RNA, 307 nt
Organism: Aotus nancymaae (Ma's night monkey)
Lineage: Eukaryota; Metazoa; Chordata; Mammalia; Primates; Aotidae
Rfam family: Metazoan signal recognition particle RNA
About the family: The signal recognition particle (SRP) is a universally conserved ribonucleoprotein. It is involved in the co-translational targeting of proteins to membranes.
Source: Ensembl
GCCGGACGUGGUGGCACAUGCCUGUAGUCCCAGCUACUUGGGAGGCUGAGGCUGGAGGAUCGCUUGAGUUCAGGAGUUCUGGGCUGUAGUGCACUAUGCCGAUCGGGUAUCUGCACUAAGUUCGGCAUCAAUAGUGUCCUCCCAGGAGCGGGGGACCACCAGGUUGCCUAAGGAGGGGUGAACUGUCCCAGGUCAGAAACAGAGCAGGUCAAAACUUCUGUGGUCAAAACUCCCAUGUUGAUCAGUAGCGGGGCCUGUGAAUAGCCACUGCACUCCAGCCUGGGCAACAGAGUGAGACCCCAUCUCU